This 444-nucleotide ribosomal RNA is filed under the name uncultured bacterium. RNAcentral describes it as "SSU rRNA". It matches the Rfam family "Bacterial small subunit ribosomal RNA", at positions 26 to 518 of the family's 1533-position model. The record is from RNAcentral.
AGAACGAACGCUGGCGGCAGGCUUAACACAUGCAAGUCGAACGCCCCGCAAGGGGAGUGGCAGACGGGUGAGUAACGCGUGGGAAUCUACCCAGUUCUACGGAAUAACACAGGGAAACUUGUGCUAAUACCGUAUACGCCCUACGGGGGAAAGAUUUAUCGGGAUUGGAUGAGCCCGCGUUGGAUUAGCUAGUUGGUGGGGUAAUGGCCUACCAAGGCGACGAUCCAUAGCUGGUCUGAGAGGAUGAUCAGCCACACUGGGACUGAGACACGGCCCAGACUCCUACGGGAGGCAGCAGUGGGGAAUAUUGGACAAUGGGCGAAAGCCUGAUCCAGCCAUGCCGCGUGAGUGAUGAAGGCCUUAGGGUUGUAAAGCUCUUUCAGUGGGGAAGAUAAUGACGGUACCCACAGAAGAAGCCCCGGCUAACUUCGCGCCAGCAGCCGC